CUGGCCUCCUGGCAUCCGUGUGUACCUGACUCGACUCAAGGGUCGUCAUACAUUUGGAAACGAAUAAGGGAACCGUCAAGUGCUGUAAAACUUGAGUUUUUUUCGAGAUAGCGGUAAGGCGUGCCACUCGAUUCUGCGUGGGACAUCUCCCCAUGUUACAAGUGUCUCGUGAAUUGCUCUUAGGUUUCAAUAAAAAAGUGGCCUGGUAUAGGGGUGUGUUAGCGUGUGUGCUUUGCUGUGCCAUAUAGCAAGUCGGACCUCGGCGGAAUAACCAUGGAGCCGCGUUACUGCCUUCUGCUCUUGUUUCUUUCAACAACGCUGUUAUUUUCUUAUACAACAGCCCAAAUCAUCAACUGUGAUUUUGAGGACGCGGGAGACCCACUGUGUGGCUUCUAUAACGUGGACACCGACGAUGCUGACUUCAAGCGGUCUACUGGUGCCAACGCAGGCGUCACAGAUUCCGCCCCUCGAUUUGACCACACCUACGGCAACGUCACAGGACAUUUUCUGGACACCGAUGUAAGUACCUUCGGCUUUGGUUCUCCCACGGCCCGAGUCUUCAGCCCGUCUGUAGCAGUCCCGGCCGGUACGCCCAAACUCUGCUUGGAGUUCUACUACCACAUGUUUGGCACAGCGCUGGAGAGCAUGCACGUGUACAAGAAGAUACGCAAUGUGGAGACCUCCAUUUACAACGCCACUGGAAAUGUGGGAGAUUACUGGGUCUAUACCCAGGUUGAAAUCGCUGUUGAUAGCAGUAUCACUAGCAUUCAGAUAAUAUAUGAAGCUAAUAUUAGUUGGGGUGUGCGUGGUGAUAUUGCCUUAGAUGACAUUACCUUGUCACUGGCUGAGUGUGCUGGAGCGCUCGAUGUAACAACUCCGGCACCCCAACCCACUACUCCCGUCACACCCCUGGCCUCAUAUGAUUGCACCUUUGAUGACCCAAAUGACCGCGUGUGCACGCCCAAGCCCAACGAUCGCAAUGACUUUGAUUGGAUCUUUAGGCAGUCUGGCUAUGUACCCAAUGAUGAGGCGCCUGUGUACGACCACACAACAUCCACAUCUGCUGGGUUGUACCUGUACGUCCCCCAAGUCGCUAGUCAAAGCAAGGUACAGGAAUUGGGUGAGUUUCGCACCGCUCUUUUUCAGCCUGCCUUCCAGCAGAAAUGCCUUCAGUUUUACUACUACAUGAGGGGCAACCAGGUGGGCACGCUCAAUGGGUACGUGGUGCGCGACGGCAUGCCGCCCCCAGUCCAUAUACCGUGGAACCGAACCGGCGAUCAGGGAGGCUACUGGAACCGAGGAUUGCUAGACAUCUACCCAACCUUUGCCAACUAUCGGGUUGCAUUUGAGGCAAAUCGUGGCAGGGACUAUGAUGGGUGUAUCGCUGUUGAUGAUCUCAAAUUGUUGGAUGGAAGAUGUCCGUCCGAGGAGGUGACGUGUGACUUUGAGACGCUCCACAUUUGCUUCUUUACCCAGGAUCGUACAGACGAUAUGGACUGGGUAGUCCAUAAUGGAGCAACUCCAAGCUAUGGAACGGGGCCGAAGAACGACCACACCUAUGGCAAUAGCACAGGUAAUUACAUGUACAUAGAGACCUCAUCCCCCGUCAACGUCGGCCAUGUAGCACGUCUUAUCUCCCCGGCCAUCACCGAGACCCAUGGCCACGCCCACUGCCUCAUCUUCUGGUACCACAUGUACGGCCAGCACGUGGACGCUUUGAACGUACUCCUGGCCAACACCACAGCACCCACACAGCGCAAGCUCAUCUGGACAUUGUCGGGGAACCGUGGGGACAAGUGGCGUGCUGCCGAAGUUCAUCUCCAGAGUGAUCAGGAUUUCCUGGUCAUUUUUGAAGCAUUCCGAGGAAGCAGUUACCAAGGUGACAUCGCCCUUGACGACGUGUGGAUCACAUCCACUGAGGGCUGCCCUGGAGAGGCUGGACUGAAGAACUACUCCAGUAUCACUUGUGACUUUGAAGAGAUUGAGAUCUGCUACUACGUGCAAGAUACUGCAGACGAUUUUGAUUGGGUAUGGCAAAAUGGCGCCAAUCAGCGACUAACCAAUACUGGGCCAGUUGAAGACCACACGACCAACAGUCAACUUGGGUUCUACAUGUACAUCCAGGAGGAUUACAACACGUUCCCCGGUGGCACUGCUCGGCUGCUGUCUCCAGAAGCCAAGGUUCAACCUCGACAAUCCUGCUUAGAGUUCUGGUAUCACAUGUAUGGCCGGGACAUUGAGUCUUUACAUGUCUACAUGAAGAAGAGUGGUGCAACCGACCUGCCUGAUGACCCUGUGUGGAGUAUGAGUGGAGAUAAGGGCAACUACUGGCACAGGGCCACGGUGGAUGUACCGGUCACAGACUACAAAUUCAGGUUUGUCUUUGAGGGGACCAGAGGGCAGGCAUACAGAGACAACAUGGCUAUUGAUGACGUCACGUUCUACGAAGGAGCUGAUUGUCCUCCAUUUACGACCGGUGCGCCAAUUCCAACGACCACGCCAGCGCCUGUCUCGUCCGCAAACUGUGAUUUUGAAGACGUGAACAAUACAAUGUGUGGCUACACCCAGUCCAUCUAUGAUGAGUAUGAUUGGUCAUAUGGGAGGGCUUCUCCUAUACCGAUUGACCAUACACUAGGAACUGCUAAUGGCCACUACCUGUACAUCGACACCAGAUCUUACUACCUCCGAGAUGACGACAGAGCAGAUAUCUACUCACCGCUACUCAUGGGUACCAACCAAUCCCAGUGCUUGGAGUUCUACUACUUCAUGUCUGGUUACCGACCAGAUUUCCUGAUGAUCUACUUGGCUGGUUGGGGCGACACUCUCGCCAUCGAUCCACUCUUCUCCAUAUAUGGAGAUCAGGGGGACAAAUGGAACAUGGCUCGUGUGGAUAUUCCUCCCAUGGACUCCAACUUCCAGGUUGUGUUUGAGGCUUUGUACAGCUACUACAACAAUGUCGGCCUUGACGAUAUCAAGUUCACAAUGGGUGCUUGUCCAAAAGCCACGGCUGCUCCAAACCCCAUGGACGGUAGUUGUGACUUUGAGUCUGGCUUCAAAGCUUGUGGCUACGAGCAUCAGAGAUAUUACGACUUCUAUUGGUUGGAGCACAGCGGUGCCACGGCAUCAAAGGGCACAGGGCCACAGGUGGAUCAUACCCUGGGGACUGAGAAAGGGACGUACAUGUACGUGGAGGCAUCCCUACCCCAGCGGCCGGACGAUCGAGCUCGUCUAAUGAGCCCUCCCAUGUACCAUGUGUCAGGCACCCCCAAAUGCAUGGUAUUCUUCUAUCACAUGAACGGCCCCGAUGUGGGCAAAAUCAACGUCUAUUGGCUGACCCAAACGGCAAACGGGUUGCUGCUGUCACUGACGGGCAACUCCAAGGACAUGUGGCGGCCAGCGGCAGUGGACUUGACUAACAUGGGGGAGCGGUUUCAGAUUAUAUUUGAAGGUGUCGUUGGUUACGGAGUGGCAGGUGAUAUGGCCAUUGAUGACAUCAGCCUACGGUUUGAGCCGUGCCCUGGCUUUGCUAAGGAAGCCUUCACUUCUUUUGAGAUGCCUGGAGACUUGAACGGGUUCCACCAAUACUAUGAAGCUGACACCUACUGGCUGUGGUAUGAUCAAUACAUCACAGACUCUACCCUCCCUGGAGAACUGCUGGCAGGUGAUGGCUCCUUCAUGUACCUGGAUGGCACCUUCUUCAAACCCGAUACCUGGGCGGUCAUCUUGAGUCCCCUCAUGGCCGGCCACACUAAUGAACACUGCUUGGACUAUGACUACACCAUAUACAAGGAGGGAGAACUGAUGGUGUCUGUAUAUCAGAAGGCUGGCGUGCCUUAUGACUUGAUGCUCAAGACUGACGUGACAGGCUGGACGCACGACCGCAGGACACUGACCAAGGCAGAAGUUGGUGAAGACUUUAUGAUUUUCUUUACUGGCAAACUUGGUUCCAGUAGCACGGGUUACAUCGCCAUAGAUAACCUGAUGAUCCGGGAAAAUAGCUGCGAUGAACUUGCAAAGCCCGGGGAUACAUCGGCCCAGGUGUCUGGCGGUACGAUUGCUACAGAAGUCCUCCUUGGCAUCUUAUUGGCCGUUGCUUUUGUGGUCAUAGCCACUGGAGCUGUGUACUUCAUCCGACGUCGGCGAGUUCUCAAGGAUAUCCCCUCUGUGCUGUACAAGAAUGAGACGGGCGAUGCUAAUGACAACAGAGAGGGCUCACUAGGCAGAGAUCUCAGUAUUGCCAAUCCAAAUUAUGACAGCGCUACGCUCCAGAGCAAUGCUUAAUUAAUGGCAAACCCCAACUGGUGGUGUAGUCUAGUCCACUAUGGAGCCGUCCCAAAUACUCCAAUUUUGAUAAUCAACUAAUCAUGCAAAUAGCAUUUUUUCAAUUCAAAUAUACGAAAAAUGUGAGCGGUUGCCAGGAGACAUGGAUGGAAUACAUCAAUGUUAUUUUAAUCGUAUAAUGGGGGGCUUUGGGGGUCCAAUGUUACACUUUUAUCAAAAGCCACUUUUGCCCAUGAUUUGAGAGCUCCCAUGAGGACUUAUUAUGAUGCUCAAAUGUCUUCUUCAAAUUUGGUCACUAUAUAUCAACCACCGCCACCAGUUCUAUUAAUUUUUGAUAAGCGCAGGUGCACGCAAAUCCCGUUUGGUGGUCAGUUUAGGCCCACGCAUGUUACACUUUAACAGCGCAUUUCAAACCAAAUAUUGAGUAUAUAUUCAAUCAAGUAAAAGUUAGAAUAAUAUACUAAAUUUUUAUUUGACAAUGCACAGCAGUCUAUCACAAGUUUAUUCACAAGACUGGGCACAAGUAAAGUGGAUGAACAAUAACAAACAACUUGAGACUGGACUUGUAGUGGACUGGUCUGCAACACUGCCCAACUAAAACUGUGAAUUUUGAAAUUAUUCCUAAAUGUUGACACAAGUAUGACACAUGAAAAGAGACAAAAAAUGUAGGCAGUCUGGAGUACAUGCAACGUUUAAUACUCAGAACUUUUGAAUACCACAUGUAGAGUUUAAUUUGUACAAAGAACCAAUACUUCAAUGAUAAAGACAACGAAUCCAAUGACUUGAAAGCAAUGUAGAAAUCUAAACAGCUUAACUUCUUAGAAUCUGCUUCUGUAGUUGAAAUCAAGCGAUACGUACCAGGUACAUGUUAUGCAUCUCAGGGCAUUUUGGCUGGUACCCUUGCCUGUAGUUGCUUUAAUAGUCUUUUCACAUGCUUAGCAACUUUCAAUGCUUUGUGAUUUCCUGAAAUUGGCUUUUGCCUGUGAAAUAAUUCUUGUAAUAAAUUUAUUGUUUCAAAAAUAAAUAUCAAGUGUGAUUUAUAAAAAUUAGAGAGUGACAUAAUGUAGUUUGUAUAUUUAAACUUUGAGAUUUUGGAAGUUACAUAUUGGUAAUUGUAUUUUUUUAAUUUUCCGAACAUUAUCAAGUAUUUUUAAACAAUCAGUGAAACAGGAGCAAUGUUGCCAACAAUUUCAAAUGCAAAUAGUUCCUUGCAUUUUAAAUGCAGCAGCAGUCAGUGUAACACAUAACAAUAACCUUUGAAAAGAAUGUGAU
RNAcentral lists this unclassified non-coding RNA (5553 nucleotides) under Patiria miniata (bat star). RNAcentral describes it as "mAM and LDL-receptor class A domain-containing protein 1-like, transcript variant X1". Lineage: Eukaryota; Metazoa; Echinodermata; Asteroidea; Valvatida; Asterinidae. The record is from RNAcentral.